This is a long non-coding RNA of Notolabrus celidotus (New Zealand spotty), 558 nucleotides long. RefSeq lists it as uncharacterized. The transcript has 4 exons. Lineage: Eukaryota; Metazoa; Chordata; Actinopteri; Labriformes; Labridae. The record is from RefSeq and is a predicted model, not a curated record.
GCUGGUUGCUACAUGCUCCUUGUACUAAGAUGAGUCCCCAGUCUCGUAACUUCCGAAUUUCCCUCCAAGGACAUGGAAGAAAAAAAGAUGAGGAAUUCCAGCCCUACUUGACUCAACUCGGCUCUACUCAACUCGGCCAAGUUUGGGUACCUUUUCCACCAGCCUGAGUACCGACUCACGGUAGGCUCGCUUGAACCAGAGUAGAGCAGGUACGAAAAACUGGUGUCUGACACGAGGUACCCCGCCCUUGGAAACGCAUCACAAACCGAGUCGAGUCGGGCUAAGAAGGCCCAGUGGAAAGGUCCAUCUGUUCAGCCUGAAUUACACAAGACAGAAAUAAACACAGCGAGGACGGCCCCACUGUGCUACAAACCAUCAUGUCUGACUCAUAGAGUAGCUCUCUAUAGUCAAACUUACCAAGGUCUGCUGGGGAGGAAGUCAUUCAUCCACACAGACAGUUACCUCUCAGCAGUCUGACGCACACAGUCUAAAGAAGCCUGUGGUUCUGAUAAACUUCAGCAUCUUGGGAUUAUUUAAUAAAGUUCUUAAAGAGAUAUA